AUGGGACUUUGUCUGGAUAUGGU
Molecule: non-coding RNA, 23 nt
Filed under: Rattus norvegicus (Norway rat)
Lineage: Eukaryota; Metazoa; Chordata; Mammalia; Rodentia; Muridae
Source: RNAcentral